RNAcentral lists this ribosomal RNA (425 nucleotides) under uncultured bacterium. RNAcentral describes it as "partial 16S ribosomal RNA". It matches the Rfam family "Bacterial small subunit ribosomal RNA", at positions 354 to 796 of the family's 1533-position model. The record is from RNAcentral.
GUGGGGAAUAUUGCACAAUGGGGGAAACCCUGAUGCAGCGACGCCGCGUGAGUGAAGAAGUAUUUCGGUACGUAAAGCUCUAUCAGCAAGGAAGAAAAUGACGGUACUUGACUAAGAAGCCCCGGCUAACUACGUGCCAGCAGCCGCGGUAAUACGUAGGGGGCAAGCGUUAUCCGGAUUUACUGGGUGUAAAGGGAGCGUAGACGGUAUGGUAAGUCAGAUGUGAAAGCCCGGGGCUCAACUCCGGGACUGCAUUUGAAACUAUCAGACUGGAGUGCAGGAGAGGUAAGUGGAAUUCCUAGUGUAGCGGUGAAAUGCGUAGAUAUUAGGAGGAACACCAGUGGCGAAGGCGGCUUACUGGACUGUAACUGACGUUGAGGCUCGAAAGCGUGGGAAGCAAACAGGAUUAGAAACCCGGGUAGUCC